Molecule: transfer RNA, 73 nt
Filed under: Mesocricetus auratus (golden hamster)
Lineage: Eukaryota; Metazoa; Chordata; Mammalia; Rodentia; Cricetidae
Rfam family: tRNA
About the family: Transfer RNA (tRNA) molecules are approximately 80 nucleotides in length. Their secondary structure includes four short double-helical elements and three loops (D, anti-codon, and T loops).
Source: Rfam by way of RNAcentral
GGAGAGAUGGCUCAGUGGUUAAGAGCACUGACUGUUCUUCCAGAGGACCUGGGUUCAAUUCCCAGCAUCUACA